UACGGAGGGUGCGAGCGUUAAUCGGAAUAACUGGGCGUAAAGGGCACGCAGGCGGGCGUGUAAGUGAGGUGUGAAAUCCCCGGGCGUAACCUGGAAAUAGCAUUGCAGACUGGGAGUCUAGAGUACUUUAGGGAGGGGUAGAAUUCCACGUGUAGCGGUGAAAUGCGUAGAGAUGUGGAGGAAUACCGAAGGCGAAGGCAGCCCCUUGGGAAUGUACUGACGCUCAUGUGCGAAAGCGUGGGGAGCAAACAGG
This 253-nucleotide ribosomal RNA is filed under the name uncultured bacterium. RNAcentral describes it as "partial 16S ribosomal RNA". It matches the Rfam family "Bacterial small subunit ribosomal RNA", at positions 524 to 776 of the family's 1533-position model. The record is from RNAcentral.